This 29-nucleotide small RNA is filed under the name Bombyx mori (domestic silkworm). Its description in RNAcentral is "ovarian small RNA-25696". Lineage: Eukaryota; Metazoa; Arthropoda; Insecta; Lepidoptera; Bombycidae. The record is from RNAcentral.
UCAGCGGUGAUGGCGCUCGGGCGCAUAAU